Molecule: long non-coding RNA, 744 nt
Organism: Oncorhynchus keta (chum salmon)
Lineage: Eukaryota; Metazoa; Chordata; Actinopteri; Salmoniformes; Salmonidae
Exons: 6
Source: RefSeq, a predicted model, not a curated record
CUGAAAGGAGGAGAUGCUACAGUGCCCUCCUGCAGGUUGAAGUGAGUGUGAUGUUGUAUAAUCUGAAAGGAGGAGAUGCUACAGUGCCCUCCUGCAGGUUGAAGUGAGUGUGAUGUUGUAUAAUCUGAAAGGAGGAGAUGCUACAGUGCCCUCCUGCAGGUUGAAGUGAGUGUGAUGUUGUAUAAUCUGAAAGGAGGAGAUGCUACAGUGCCCUCCUGCAGGUUGAAGUGAGUGUGAUGUUGUAUAAUCUGAAAGGAGGAGAUGCUACAGUGCCCUCCUGCAGGUUGAAGUGAGUGUGAUGUUGUAUAAUCUGAAAGGAGGAGAUGCUACAGUGCCCUCCUGCAGGUUGAAGUGAGUGUGAUGUUGUAUAAUCUGAAAGGAGGAGAUGCUACAGUGCCCUCCUGCAGGUUGAAGUGAGUGUGAUGUUGUAUAAUCUGAAAGGAGGAGAUGCUACAGUGCCCUCCUGCAGGUUGAAGUGAGUGUGAUGUUGUAUAAUCUGAAAGGAGGAGAUGCUACAGUGCCCUCCUGCAGGUUGAAGUGAGUGUGAUGUUGUAUAAUCUGAAAGGAGGAGAUGCUACAGUGCCCUCCUGCAGGUUGAAGUGAGUGUGAUGUUGUAUAAUCUGAAAGGAGGAGAUGCUACAGUGCCCUCCUGCAGGUUGAAGUGAGUGUGAUGUUGUAUAAUCUGAAAGGAGGAGAUGCUACAGUGCCCUCCUGCAGGUUGAAGUGAGUGUGAUGUUGUAUAAU